GUCAACGAAGCCACGCGAGGUAUUUGAAAGGCAAUCAGCCCGACCGUCCCCCUAGAUUCAUCGGAGAAGGAACUAGGUGAAUAUUGCCCUGGGUCCUGGUAAUUCUACCUACUGAAGACAAAAGCCCCUUCUGCUCAUAUUUCCUGAGUCAACAUGGCCGUUCCUAACUUUGAAGAGACUUUAGACAUUCUUUGUUACAAUGAGCCCAGAAGAAAGAAGAGAAAUGCUUCUACUCUCUACUCUCCUCCAAGAGAUGACCAGCAGAGAGCACUCUCACUGGGACCAGCACAGUGAUGCCUGGACUCCUGGACUCCUGCACUCCCAAACUGAAACAGAGUUCUAAAGUCACCAGGGAAGGAUUCCCACCUUGAAGGACUGUCAUCCUAUUUGACAACCUAUUGCACUAUCCUAAUGAUCUUCAUAAUCAAGAACACUUUUCCAAAUUGCUUUUUAUUUUGAAAAAAUUAGUUGUUAAUUGAUCGAUUGUGUGUGUGUGUGUGUGUGUGUGUGUGUGUGUGAAGGCCACAGAAUAAUUGAUAGCAGUUGUUUCUCUUCUUCUACCUUGUGGAGCCUGGUGAUUAAACUCAAGUCUUUACACUUGGUCAUAAGCACCGCCACCUACUGAGUCACCUCGCCUCCUGCUGGGUCACCUAACAACCUACUAAGUCACCUCACCACCUGCUGAGUCAGCUCACAAUCUGCUGGGUCACCUCAGCACUUGCUGAGUCAUCUCAUCACCUACCAAGUCACCUUGCCACCUGCUGGGUUACCUUACCACCUGCUGAGUCAGCUUACCAUCUGCUGAGUCACCUCAUCACCUGCUGAGUCAGCUCAUCACCUGCCAAGUCAGCUCACCAUCUGUUGGGUUACCUUACCACCUACUGAAUCACUUCAGUACUUGCUGAGUCACCUCACCACCUGCUGAAUCACCUCACCACCUGCUGAGUCAGCUUACCAUCUGCUGAGUCACCUCACUACCUACUGAGUCACCUCACCACCUGUUGGGUCACCUCACCACCUACUGAGUCAAGUCACCACUAACUGAGUCAGCUCACCACCUGCUGAGUCACCUCAUCACUAGCUGGGUCACCUCAUUAGCCCAUUGUUUCUAAAUCCUUCUCACUCAAGUUUAAGACCUGAGCUUCUCACUGCUAAAAGAGAGAACAGAUGGUUACAAAAUUCUGCAUACGAAUUCUUCGUUCUUUGGGAACAAACACACAUAUGUAUGUGUGUACCUUGAAACACAUACCCACAUCCACACAACCCUGAUCCUGUGCGUCCAUUCAGUGUUAUACAGUGAAAAGUUCAGCAUUUCUUACCUUUUGGGUAUUUUUUUUCUUUUGAAAUAUGCAUUAUUGCCCCCAUCGCAACUCCACAGGAGGACCUCAUAGUUGGUACUGCUAACCUGGUGUAGGUUUCUAAGUCAAUGACUAGGAAGAUAAUAGACCCAGGGGAGUCAGGCUGAUGGGCAGGGGUUGAAUCAGUCACUGUUGUUUUGCUAAAUGGACAUGUUGUUCAACUACUCUCUAUCUAUAUACCCGUAGAUCACAUCCUUGGUUAAAGAUGCUUUUGCUUGCCUUGGGACAUAACUGGUCCAUGUGCUGAGAAAAGGGACUCUUGGGUACUCAGCCCUAUGUGGGACAUCUGUAUAACACAUCCCCAGAGCUCAGGUAAUAUCCUGGGGGAAUAUAAGAGCUAUAGGAUGGGAAUUGGUGCUACAGAAUGCUGUUUGUGGAUAAGACAUGGCUGAUGCAUCCAUAACUCAGAGCAACAGUGGUUACUUGCUCAAGACCUUCACAAGACUGAGCUGUCAACCUUCUAACCUGGAUGGAAGACGGGGUCGUAAGAUCCCAUCCUUCCAUCGGAGCAACAGGCAACUAAAACUUGCACAGGGAAGGAAGAACUCUUUAUACUGCCGAGCCACGAUUGCAUUGCCCUCACCCAAAUAAAUGUAGGAAACCACAAUUAAAUAAGGUGAGUCGUCAAUAAACCACAAACAAACAAACAAACAAGCAAGCAACAGACAUAAAAGUUGGAGGACUGAGGAGAAGAGAUUUAUUGGGAGGCGAUAAGAGAAGAUGAGGACCACGAGGCAAUUUUGAUCAAAGAAUGUGCGAAACUGUAAAAAAAAAUAGUAAAUAUGUUAAAUACAUAAAAAUAAAGACAAAAAUACCACAGAUUAA
Molecule: long non-coding RNA, 2183 nt
Filed under: Mus caroli (Ryukyu mouse)
Lineage: Eukaryota; Metazoa; Chordata; Mammalia; Rodentia; Muridae
Description: POU domain, class 3, transcription factor 3 adjacent noncoding transcript 1 (MGP_CAROLIEiJ_G0004361.1)
Source: RNAcentral